GACACGGCUGCCUCCCGCCCGCCGCGCGCUGGGCGCUCAGAGUCUCGGGCGCGGCGGGAGCGCAGUUAAAGCCGAUCUCCCGCGCCCCGAGGUUGCUCCUCUCCGAGGUCUCCCGCGGCCCAAGUUCUCUGCGCCCCGAGGUCUCCGCGGCCAGAGGUCUCCGCCCGCACCAUGCGGCUGGGCAGUCCUGGACUGCUCCUCCUGCUCUUCAGCAGCCUUCGAGCCGAUACUCAGGAGAAGGAAGUCAGAGCGAUGGUGGGCAGCGACGUGGAGCUCAGCUGCGCGUGCCCCGAAGGAAGCCGUUUUGAUUUAAAUGACGUUUACGUAUACUGGCAAACCAGCGAGUCGAAAACCGUGGUGACUUACCACAUCCCGCAGAACAGCUCCUUGGACAACGUGGACAGCCACUACCGGAACCGGGCCCUGAUGUCACCGGCCGGCAUGCAGCGGGGCGACUUCUCCCUGCGCUUGUUCAACGUCACCCCCCAGGAUGAGCAGAAGUUUCACUGCCUGGUAUUGAGCCAAUCCCUGGGAUUUCAGGAGGUGCUGAGCGUUGUGGUCACGCUGCAUGUGGCAGCAAACUUCAGCGUGCCUGUUGUCAGCACCCCCCACAGCCCCUCCCAGGAUGAGCUCACCUUCACGUGUACAUCCAUAAACGGCUACCCCAGGCCCAACGUGUACUGGAUCAACAAGACGGACAACAGCCUGCUGGACCAGGCUCUGCAGAACGACACUGUCUUCUUGAACACGCGGGGCUUGUACGACGUGGUCAGUGUGCUGAGGAUCGCGCGGACCCCCAGCUUGAACAUCGGCUGCUGCAUAGAGAACGUGCUUCUGCGGCAGAACCUGACCGUCGGCAGCCAAACAGGAAACAACAUCGGAGAGAGAGACAAGAUCACAGAGAAUCCAGUCAGUACCCGCGAGAAGACCGAGGUCACGUGGAGCGUCCUGGCUGUCCUGUGCCUGCUUGUGGCCGUGGCGGUGGCCAUAGGCUGGGUGUGCCGGGACCGAUGGCUCCGCCGCAGCUAUGCAGGUGUCUGGGCUGUGAGGCCGGAGCCAGAGCUCGCUGGUGAGUUUGCCAUGGGAAGCAGCAGGUUCUGGGGUGCCUGAGGGAGGCUUGGCUGGCAGCUGUCUUUCAGAUUGUCAAAAAACUUUCAAAAGGCAAAAGUCCUUUGCCUUGAACAACUGUUGCUCCCAGAGACGCAGUGAAGCCCUCGAUGGCGCGCAUGGCAUUUCCUGCAGCCUCCCCUUGGCAUGGGAUGGCAUCCUGGUGUGCACUUUCUCACACUGCAAUGGGAUUUUCCCAACAUGCACAGAAGCAGAGAGACGAGUGCUGGACCCCUGUGUUCCCCAGCGCCCAACCCCCACCAGGAUGUCCGGAGCAGGUCCAGGCACUGGCGCCCAGCCCCCACCGGGGUGUCCAGAGCAGGUCCAGGCACUGGCACCCAGCCCCCACGGGGUGUCCAGAGCAGGUCCAGGCACUGGCGCCCAGCCCCCACCGGGGUGUCCAGAGCAGGUCCAGGCACUGGCACCCAGCCCCCAUGGGAUGUUCAGAGCGGGUCCAGGCACUGGUGCCCAGCCCCCACGGGGUGUUCAGAGGGGUCCAGGCACUUGCGCCCACCCCUACCAGGAUGUCCGGAGCAGGUCCAGGCACUGCCGACUUCUCUCUGCAGCAGCCACUCCUGCAGCUCUCGGGCGGCUCCCUGUCUCCCGGUGGAGGUGUGCCCCUCAGUCCCAGGAGCAACAUAGAUGUGGAUUCCUGUCCAAUUUGGGAAAAAUGUCCACACACAGUCACCUACCUGGCAGGUGCCUCUGGCUGCAAGGGGUGUUUGGCUUUGCAGGCAGGCCAGCUGGGCUCCCCGCCAUGGACCAGGAUCCCCUCUGAGCCCCGUUUGCCAUCCAUGAGCAGGGGUUCCCCGGGGACAGUGGGCUCAGGGUGUGCACAGCCACCACGCUGUGGUGUCACCUGUGGACCCCAGCGAGCGGAUGGCUGACUGCAGAAACUCACUUCCAAGGCCAGGUCAGCCCGUCCAGAUGACACAUGAACACAGCCUGCUGAAAACAAGCCGGCCUGUUCCUACCAGAGCCAGUCGAAGUGCCUUGUGCAGGUGGCUGUUUCCGAAGCUCUAAACCCUUUGUUUCCACCAAGCUGAGUCCUGAGAAAACUGACGUCUGCCUGCAGAAUGGAAAGGGGUGCUUCAUGUUCCUCUCUCUUCUUCACUUCCCUUCCAAGGCCAUGUUUGACCGGAGCUCACCGCCAGAGCGUGGACAGGGCUUCCGUGAGACGCCACCAUGAGAGGCCAGGUGGCAGCUUGAGAAUGGACUCGCACAGGUGCCUCCCAGACUGCAGGGGAGCACUUGGGGCCGCCCCCAGAAGGACCACUGCUGGAUCCCAGCGAGAACCUGCUGGCGUUGGCUGUGAUCCUGGAAUGAGGCCCUUUCAAAAUCGUCAUCCACACCAAAGGCAAAUCCCCACUGUCACUACCAGUCACUCACAGGAAGGGACUGGUGAUGGGCUCUUUCCACCCGGAGCAUGCGAGAUUCAACGCCAGGCUCUUCCCGGUACCCCAGACCUACUGUGGGUCUUCCCGUGGGAUGCGGGGCCCUGAGACUGAAGGGUGUUUGGUUUCAAAAGACGACUCUGGGUGUCCACUCUUCCAGGACGGCCUCUGUGCUGCUGGGGUCGCGCGAGGCUGUUUGCAGGAGGCACGGUCCCAGGAGCUCUUCUGCCCUGGAUGCUCCCAACCUACCUCCUGCCCAGAGGCCACAGGACCCACACAUGUGCGUGUCCACAAGUGUAGGCAGCCGUCCACACCAAGGAGCCCCUGGAAGGCCCCACUGGGCUUCGUUGUCCUCUGCCACAUUCCCCGGGAGGAACAGUGGCCCUCGGCUGUUCUGGUGAAAAGCUGAGCUGCCUUUGGAAGAGGUGCUGGUGGAGUUUGCCAGAAGAAAGGCUGUGCCACAGCUGUGUUUGGCCAGCUGUAGAGGCUGCCAGGGCUCUUGGCUCUGCAGUGAGAAAGAUACAGCCCUGGGCACAGCCCAGCAGGGCUGGAGAUGCCCAUGUCCAGUAGGUGCAGGCCUGGCAACACGAUCCCCAGAGUCCUGAGCAGAAGUUGAGAGGGCAUCACCUGGUGACCACGGUCCCCCUUGUCACCACAGCAGUGAUCCCCAAAGUGAGGGGUGGCUCCCCCGUCCUCCGCUGCCCUCAGCAGCCCCACCCCACUCAACCAUGAGGGUCCCCAGGGUCCCCAGGGUCCUGAUGAAGACAUCCGACCCCAGCACCAGGCUCCUCGGAGCUCAACAGUCCCAAGGGCGCAGGAGACAGGGUGGCCCACUGCUGAGGGGUGUGGCCCUGGGUCCUGACACGCCCCAGCACUGUGCUAGUGCCUGGAAUGAAUCAGCUGCUGACUGUCUCCAGGAGGGCUGGAAAGGACACUACCAGGUGACCCAGGGUGCACUUGCCCCAGGGAGAUGGAGUAGAUGACCUGGCCUGGCCCUGGGGACACGUGUCUACCCCGGGGCUAUGGGCAAACGCCCCUCCUUCUUCCUUCCCAGAGUUCCUGACAUUCUUGGGGGCAGCCAGGACCUGUUACAGCCCUGGUCACUUGGAACUGACAGCUGUGUGAGGCCUGCACUUCUCAGACCCAGACUACAACAAAAUGAGGAGUGAGGGCUCAUGAUUACUAUGAGAUUCUAGUACUUGUCACAAGAAAUUGGUUUUCUACGAAAAAAGUCCCUACCUGGGCCUUUAAGUGAAUCCACUCCUGCUUUUAACAUGAAAGCAUUAGAAGAUGUGUGGUGUUUGUAAAAGUACAGUUGUCAUCACCGGGCAUUGACUGGCAGGGACAAGGAGCUGCUUGGGUGUGGAAAUUUGGGGCGUUGGAAAGCGGGGUGUGGUGCCCAUUUGCGGUGACUGUGAAGUGACUCCAGGACAGAGCUGCGGGAGCACCCAGAGGUCCUAAGCCCCAGGACUGAGGGUGGUGCAUCACCACUCGGGUGUCCCGGGAGGUGCCCUGGGCCCAGGGGACCUCACGGGCAGGAUGGUGACACCCUUGCAGGGAGAGGGAGUCUGGCUCCAGCUUUUCCCAUUGGAGGUGAUUUUCCUUCACCAGGGGACAGGCAGGAAAGAUGCAGGAGCCCCAGAAGCUUCUACCUCUCAUGCCUGGGGCCCAGGGGACACUUGGAGGCUGCUGUCACCACUGCGCGUCCAGGGCCAUGCCCUCUGCGGGUGAGUGCCUGAGUCUCGCCUCCCUGCUGGUCCCCGAAGUCCCCCUCAGAAGCCCUGCAUGGUGGGAUUUGUAAGACCCACCCUGUAACGCCUGCCCCUCUCAGCCCAAGACAUCAGCUUCCUCGUUCUCCUGUGCUGUAGAUAGGCUGAAUUCCAGUGUUGUGACAGCCGUCUCCAGUAAUCUGACUUGAGAGAGUAAGAUGCAAAUAGU
RNA transcript from Cercocebus atys (sooty mangabey), 4439 nucleotides. It is a transcript of the gene named inducible T-cell co-stimulator ligand, with no coding region annotated. The transcript is spliced from 7 exons. The record is from RefSeq and is a predicted model, not a curated record. NCBI's taxonomy places the organism in Eukaryota, Metazoa, Chordata, Mammalia, Primates, Cercopithecidae.